This is a non-coding RNA of Ipomoea nil (Japanese morning glory), 82 nucleotides long. Lineage: Eukaryota; Viridiplantae; Streptophyta; Magnoliopsida; Solanales; Convolvulaceae. The record is from Rfam.
GAGGGCAUGCCGGAGUGGUUAUCGGGCAUAACUAGAAAUCAUGUAGGCUUUGCUCGCGUAGGUUUGAAUCUUGCUGCUUAUG